RNAcentral lists this unclassified non-coding RNA (379 nucleotides) under uncultured bacterium. RNAcentral describes it as "contains 16S-23S intergenic spacer region". The record is from RNAcentral.
UCCGGUUUGACACCGGCAGUCUCCUAUGAGUUCCCGACAUCACUCGCUGGCAACAUAGGACAGGGGUUGCGCUCGUUGCGGGACUUAACCCAACAUUUCACAACACGAGCUGACGACAGCCAUGCAGCACCUGUCACUCGGUUCCCGAAGGCACUCCGCCGUCUCCGACAGAUUCCGAGGAUGUCAAGGGUAGGUAAGGUUCUUCGCGUUGCAUCGAAUUAAACCACAUGCUCCACCGCUUGUGCGGGCCCCCGUCAAUUCCUUUGAGUUUCAGCCUUGCGGCCGUACUCCCCAGGCGGGGUGCUUAACGCGUUAGCUGCGACACUGAAGGGGUCGAUCCCCCCAGCACCUAGCACCCAUCGUUUAGGGCGUGGACUAC